GUUGUUGAUCUUGCCUGCAUGCGAGAUGCCAUGAACGGCCUUGGAGGUGAUUCUAAUAAGAUUAACCCACUGGUUCCGGUUGAUCUUGUUAUUGAUCACUCAGUUCAGGUUGAUGUGGCAAGGUCAGAAAAUGCGGUGCAGGCUAAUAUGGAACUCGAAUUUCAAAGGAACAAAGAAAGAUUUGCCUUUCUCAAAUGGGGUUCAAAUGCGUUCCAUAACAUGCUUGUCGUUCCCCCUGGUUCUGGGAUAGUCCAUCAGGUCAAUUUGGAAUACCUUGGAAGAGU
This 284-nucleotide unclassified non-coding RNA is filed under the name Hevea brasiliensis (rubber tree). Lineage: Eukaryota; Viridiplantae; Streptophyta; Magnoliopsida; Malpighiales; Euphorbiaceae. The record is from RNAcentral.